UGGAAACACAAUACUUUGACAGAACAAUAAGACGCAUUCACUUGCAUGCAAAAAAUGGUCCAUUUUUAUGUUAAAGGUUUCUUUCUAUUGAUCCUGAUUAUUGUCUCAUCAGAAUGCAGCGAUACCCAAACUGUGGCUGCAUAUGAAGAUGCGACUCUCUUUAGGCUGAAUUCAGAUGAAAUUGAAGCAGAAAGGUGCUACCAAGUCAAGGUGACAAAGUACACCUCAGACAAAAAAACAAUGGUCAUCUUUAUGUGGCCCAAAAAGAAUCAACCAUCUAAACGAAUGUCAUGGGAAUCUAACGGAAACGGACUGAUGUUUUUCCAUCUGAAAAAUUUGCAAAAAUCUGAUGAAGGGACGUACAGCUGUGAAAUCUGGCAAGGAUGGGAUCUUGUUCUGAUGAAAAACAUGACUCUGAAAGUAAAAGAUUGCAAAACCCGUCCUGCAGUGAAGGUAAAACUAGACUCAUCCGUCAGGCUGCAGUGCUCUGUUGACAUCACACCAGAGAAGCAAAGACCACAAAAUGUCUCCUGGGCAAAGCUAAAAGGACUUCACCAUGAACCUGUUGACUCUCAGAGGGUUGGACCAGACAACACAUUGAUAAUCCAGACUGUGAGACACAGUGACAGUGGCUGGUAUCGGUGUAAUUAUGUUCUUGGAAAAACUAAGCGCUGCACUGACGUCCGUCUAAAUGUUCAAGAAGCAGAUGACACAUCUGAAGAUACAACAGCCACGACCACCCCAAACACCCCAACACACACUCUGCAAGGAUCACACUUUGCAAAUGUGAUCACACUGCUAGUUCCUGCCACUUUUGGGUUGGUCACUGCCACCAUACUUGGACUGUUCUUUUACUGCAGACAACGAAGGUGGAAAGUUACAGCACAGCAUCAGACUGCAGAUGCACCUACAGAGACUAUGGAUAAUUGUUAUCAGCAGAUGCUUCAGUCACAUUCACAGGAAAUGGCAGAUGAGUAUCAGACUUUACAUGAUCAAUCGUAAGUGCCCAUCUUUGUUCAUGUUACCUUCCUGAUCAAAGCACCUACUUGUUUAAACCUUCACUGACAAGUUUUUUUUUUAAAUAUCCCAGAUCUUGCACACCAGUGCAUGAAUAAACGAUAUUACUCUUCACAUGAACGGCCGCAUACUUGUCAGUACAACUGUAAAGUCAAAAUUACAUUCUUUGAAAUCAUACCGAACUGACAAAUAUGACUAAAAUAAUUUUCUCUCCUCUAUCACUGGCUUUUUCUAGAUACUCUAUGCCACCUUUGGAAAAGGAAAAUUUGUUCUCUUAAAUUUCAGCAACUUCGUGUUUAUAUCAUCGUUGCACUGAGUCCAUUCAUGUCACAUGUGUCUUGUGAGUCUUUCAUUAUAUUAUUAUGACAUCUGUAUUCUAAGAAUGAUGUGUUUCUCAUGUAUUUUUGAACGGAAUGAUGUUGUAAAUGUCAAUUAAAUAUAUCUUCCUGUUACAAGAGGGGGUGCUGUUUCAAACAGAGGUCUACAAAAAUGUAGUUAUUUCCAUUCAGUUCACAGGCUGUAACAGAUGACAGAAAUCAUCCGUGACUGUUGUCGUUCCUCAACAUUUAUACGAGGUAUCUUGGAUCCCAUCGUAGACCAACCCGGUCAGUCAAGCGUUCAGAUAGCCGCCGGUGACGGGACGCGUCCUGGGGUCAUGGAGGGGGAGCACUCCUCAGUCAAGCUCUCUUAACAUGCUUUACUCACUUUUGAACGCAUUUCAACCGAGAAUGUAACCACGUUGAUUGCCAAUAUGUGUUUGGAUCACUCAGAAAAUGGUUGUAUUUUUUUUUCCCCCUUGUAUAUUUGAAUGGAUACAAACAUGAUGGUGUUUCCAGAAUGUUACUGUGAGGUAGUGUUGGUGCAUUCACUUUUAAAUUUGUCUUUAGUGUGGACUGGGCCAUAAACAGUAAAAUUGUUUAAUACCUCAAUGUCCAAAUAAAAAAAAAACAUUAUUUGCAUUGUUUCAUUGGAGGAGGGAAUGGCCAGAUAAUUCCCACUGAAAUGUAUUACUGUAGUUUAAAAGACGUCGUUUGAGACACGAAAAAAGUGUGUAGAUGGUUUCCUGGACACAAAUUAAUUUUCUUGACUCAAAUCAUGAAUUGCCUUGAGACUUUGUUGUGUAGACAUGAGUCUUGAAAAGAAGUGAUAGUACAUUGAGACUUAAUGGGCCAUUUUCACAGCUCCACUACUUCCUGAAAUUAACUGUGCACAUUCAUUUCCUGUCUUGC
Molecule: long non-coding RNA, 2246 nt
Organism: Salarias fasciatus (jewelled blenny)
Lineage: Eukaryota; Metazoa; Chordata; Actinopteri; Blenniiformes; Blenniidae
Source: Ensembl